CCUUUUCAAUGUCUUCCUUUGACGAUGCUUCAAUUUCUUCACCGGUUUCUUUCUUUGUUUUCUCGAUUUUUGGCAAAUGAAUGUCUGUUUCCACCCCUGGAACGGUAACAUCAAAACUUUUUAUACCUGGAAUGGACUCCACUAGCUCUGGCUGUUCGCGUUCCUUUAGUUGUACUUCUUUGCUUUGGAGGCGUGUCAUUAUUGAUGGUAGUUGGACAUCUAUUUGUGGAGCUGCCACAGAAAUAUUUUUUGAGGCGAGAUCGAUUUCAGGUCUUUCUCCACUGACAUCAAGACCAGUUGUAACAGUUGUCACUUGAGGACCUUUAACAUCAACGUCUACUGCUGGUAAUGAAACCUCAGGUUUGAUCACUCCCACAUGCAUUUCUUGUUUAGGCACUUUCUCUGCCGAGACUG
Molecule: long non-coding RNA, 414 nt
Organism: Erpetoichthys calabaricus (reedfish)
Lineage: Eukaryota; Metazoa; Chordata; Cladistia; Polypteriformes; Polypteridae
Exons: 3
Source: RefSeq, a predicted model, not a curated record